UUUUUCAACUUUCCUUCCACUUGAGAUCGCCAUCUCUUUGUCUAGUUAUGUGCUCUUCCCAUGGUAAUAAUUGGUUAAAGAGUAUUAGUGAAUCAGUAUUAAGGUCUCUUUUGUGAAUGUAAUUUUGCUUUAUGCUCUGUUUGGCUUCUCGGAAAAUGUGGGGGGAAGAUUGGAUAAUCUAAUAUUUAUAUGUUGGAGUUUGUGUGUGUGUUUAUAUGUUAAUUUUCCUCCACUGUAAUCAAAUAUCAAGUGUUUUUAUGUUGUAAGGAAUUACUGUGUUCUCAAUGUCUAAUUUGGAAAACAUUUGGUUUGAGAAUUUAGAGAAACAACUAACAACAAUUUGACCAGGUUCUUUUGUUAGUAUAAUAUUAUCCAAAGCUCUACAAAUAAUUCUGGGGAAUUAGUUCUGUCAAUAGAAAUAAUAUUUAAUUAUAGUUUGAAUUUAGGUUGUUGGGCUUUUCGAUUUGUAUGGUGGGGUGUGGAUGCAGAAGUGUUGACCAUGGAGGAUUGAAGAUGGGAAUAAAAUUUUGGAUUUAGCUGUUGCCAUUUGUGUAAACAAUGCAGAACCGUUUGCCUGUGUUUUCUUGUGGAAAAAAAAGAAAAGAAACAAAAACUGUGUGCAGAGGUGCAGAAGACAACAUGUGCGUCAGCAAUGGGCUGUUAUUGAGAUUUCUUUGUCAGGUCUACCUAAUUAUUUAAUGUCCCUGAUUUGCAUUCUUGCACUAUUAUUGGUUGAAAGGUUAGAGAAGUAGCAAAAGUUUCUUUGAUAGGUGUUGGACUAUGAAUUUCAAUUUUAAGAGAGAGAAAUUCUGAAGGAAUUGCUUCCAGAUUGGUUCUCAAGUGUGCAGAAGUUGCUUUUCAUAAGAUAUGCAAUAUUGGGAAUUUGAAAUUGUACAUGAGUGAGUAGCCAAGUACUUCUGUUGUUUCACAAUUUACUCAUCUGAUAUUGUGCUAGGGCAAAUUCAACUGCUAGAGAAUUGCACUUAUUGUUGCCUAGGACGCUCAACCUGUUGCAUGCACCCAAAUUCUGUUAUACUAAUCUUGUUUUGUUAUAGUCCAAUUUUAUCUUUACUGUUGCUAUUGAUUUCUAGAGAUCUUUCUUGCAUUUUCCAGUUUAAUUAUAAGUGUUUUGUGGAAUACUCGUAUUAUAUUAUUUUUGGUCUAGCUUUUUUAGUGCCCUUUUCUUCCCGUCUCCUCUACCCAACAACCCCCCCACCCCCCCUAACCCCACAACCCGCGGCCUCCCUCCGAGCCCCUUCUUUUUUUUCUUCUUCCCUUCCUGUCCCUCUCUUUGCGAAUAAGAGCAAAUAUGUUAUUCAUCUAUUUUCUGUUUGUAUUAUUGCCUUACUUCUACAUUUUGAUAUAGGAGGUCAAAAAAGAUGUCUUCUGAUACUGCGAAAGAAAAUGCAUCUGUAGUUGACUCCUCAGUAACUGAAUGGAAACAUGACAUGGGGAAUUUUGAUGAUCCAGCUCAAGAAAAGAAGAAGAAAAUUUGAGGAUUUGUAGAGAAGGGAAAUUUGAGAGAAAGUCUUUGGAGAGGUGCAGACUGCAGGGAAACUGGACAAAAUAUCGAUGUGGAGUUGUCUUUGCACAACAAAAGAAAAAGCAGAUUAUCUGCUUUAUGAGAGUCCAAUCUACAAAGGUGAUGAGGAUAUUUAUCCUCAUAGGGCUGAAAAAGCAGGUCAUGAUAAUGAUCGGAUUGGAAAUUCAUCUCUAAACAAAAAGGGUCGAUUGUAUAAUACAAGAUAUUUCAUCAUUAAGAGUUUGAACCAUCAUAAUAUUCAACUCUCAGUUGAGAAAGGAAUAUGGGCUACUCAAGUCAUGAAUGAACCAAUUUUGGAAGAGGCCUUUCAUAAUUCUGAUAAAGUCAUUCUAAUAUUUAGUGUCAACAUGAGUGGUUUCUUCCAAGGUUAUGCCCAAAUGAUGUCUGCUGUUGGGUGGAGGCGUGACAACAUCUGGAGCAAAGGAUGUGGUAAAAUUAAUCCUUGGGGCUGCAGCUUUAAGGUUAAAUGGCUGCGGUUAAAUGACUUGCCUUUCCAAAAGACACUUCAUCUCAAGAAUCCAUUGAAUGACUUCAAACCUGUUAAAAUUAGUAGAGACUGCCAGGAAUUACCGGAAGAUGUAGGAGAAGCUCUUUGUGGGCUGAUUGAUGGGGAGAGUGAUAUUGAUGGCAUGCUGAAAAGGGAUGAGCUUCCUUUGAAAAGGCCUUGUAUAGUACCUCUAUGUUCACUAGGGGAUGGAGAAUAUAAUAUGCCUUCGCUACACAUGCCAUGGGUUAGGACAUCUAUGCCUUAUCAUUCCUUUCUCUACCAACAUCAUGCUGAAGCAAGUAGAUUUCAUUUGGCUCAUCAGGGAUCUAGUGGUGUUAAUAUGCCUCUUCCAUCUGGUGCAUCAAAAAUGUCAAGGAUGAAACAUUCUCAACUUAAUGGAAUUCUUGCAAAUUUACAAUUAAAGGGUGAUGUGCAUUGUCAAAAUGAUGCUUGGGGCUUGUCAGCAGAAAGUCCUCUGGCUAGUACUCUGACUGAAGAUGAUUUUCUUGAAAUGGUAUAUUGGGGGGGAGGGGGGUGGUCCUAUGUUAGCUUUUAUUUAUUUAUUUUUUAUUUGGUGAUUAAUAUGCACCAUGUAGUUUUCUAAUUGCUGAAUAGUUGUAUCUUAAGUUGAUUUUUCCUGUAAUAAUCCAAGCUUGGAAUGAAGACCAUCUAAUAAUUGGACAAUUAUUUUUUUCCUAUGCGUGGAAUUUUUGAAAUGAAUUAUGUAGUAUAUUGAUAAACAUCGGAGAACAUUAUGAUUAAUUUUGGAACAAUGUGCUCUUGAAAGCCUUUGUAGAGCAUGGUGUCUUCAUCCCAUUUGUGUCAUCAGUUAUGCACAAUAUCCUGCGCCUGAUUAUCUAUGUUCUCUUUCUUAUUUUUGUAGUUCGUGAACUAUUCAGUUUCCAUCAGUAAGAGAAAAUCCUUCAAUGUUUCAUUAGCCUAGAUCAUAAGUAGCACUUCCUUUUUAAUUCUCCUUAAGAAAAGUUACAUAUUAAUCUUAAUCCUUCUUCCUCAACGAGGAUGAAGAAAUGUAGCAGGCUGCAGGGCUGUUGAUUGAGCCAACCUGGAAGAUUACUAGUUGACUAGAUGUUGAUUCUUCAACAAAUUUUUAGUUUUUGAUUGCUUUGUUCAAAUAUUGACUGCUAGAUGCCUAGGAAUGGUACCUGCUGUGGUAUUUAUUAUUCUUGACUCUCAAAUAUGCAUCCUUUAAACAUUAAGUUGUUGUUAUGUACAAAAUGUGUUAUGAUAUUGUUGUUUGUUGUUAAUUGACUUGCUUCUGAUUUAUUUUCAGACAUAUGAAGAGUACCUGGAAGUGCAUAGCAGAAGUGUCAAACAAUUGAAUCUCCCUGUUAGUAUACUUACCUGAUGAUAUUCUAGUGGGUUAGUUUAAUGUAUAUGUUUUUUAUUGGUAUGAUACAUGAUGGUUCAAUUAUGUUAAAAAUUUUAUGUUUGUUGCAUAUGAUCAUUAUGGUUCAGUAGAUGCAGUGCUAUUUCAAAUCUGUCCUCAUGUUCUCUUCUUUGGGUUUUCUCUUUUCAGAUUGAUGAUGAUAUGAAAAUUCAUUGUUACGUAUAUGGCUUGUUAGAAAUACAGUUGCUUGGACCUGUCUAAUUAACCCUAGACACAAUACUGGUGUCGAUUUCAUGUGCCUUUGCAAGAAAAUGUCAAAACUUAUUUCUUAGUUCAAAAGUGUAACCAGAUACUUGGCAGGGUUUUGUUGUUUCUAUUUCCUGCAAGGUGAAAUUACUUUUUUCUUCUUUUUAUCUUUCUGCCCUAACUGGAGAUUACAGAAUUAAAACAAUAGGUUCAGGAUUAUAGUCAAUAUGAGAUUAUCAUGCCAAAUUGCUAAUUUGCCGGACAUUUGUAUGCUAUAACACCAGAAUUGAUCUACUUCUGUCACUGGAAUGUGACUGGUAAUGAUUUUGAAGUAUUUUCUUUCUUCCCUAAACCCUUUCCUAUCUUAUCUUUUCAGUCAACUUUUAAUUAUCUAAGGUCUGGAUGAAUUGAGUGGCAUGUAUUGCAGAGUCUGCUUAUGCUGGUGGCACUGGGCCAUGUUUUUUAUGGGAACAACUGCUGAAAAAUUGUUGUGUCAUGGGUUUACUACUUACAGAAAUAUAAACCUGAUGAAGAUGAUAGAAGUUUUUCAUGUAUUUUUUCAGUUUUCUGAGACAUUGCUGUGUGAGCUAAACCUUCAACUAUCUUUUUAAAAUAAUAAUUCUACUUCUGAGCCAUUUAACUCUUGACAGGUAGUUGGAUCAUCUCGGGCAACACUGGAGCCAUCAAGAAGACAUGAUGAUGAUUCGUAAGUUUAUUUCAGUCUAUGUCUCUGUAUUCAAAUUGCGUUUCUGCAAGGCUUCACUGAUUUAGUGAUGUUCUCUGCAGAAACUCAAGCUUUGUAAAUGAAAAGUGUCCCUCACGGAAGAGGACACAUCAUUCAUCCGAUAAAUGAUCAAAUACCUCACACAAGCAGCUAGUGUUGGCCCUUUUGCUGAUGAUAAUACGAUUUUCUGGUGGGAGGUUUUCGAAUUUGCCAUUCAAGGCAACCGCUCGACUGUUCUAAUCCCAGAAACUGGGAAUCAUUAUAUUGUUGUGUUAUACACUUUCAUGUACCGGCAAUUGAUGAUUCGAUUGCAUAGUAGGUUUUACUAGGGUAUGUUACCAAUCUGUACAGAAAUUAAAUUUGCAACAUGCCCCCUGUUGUCAGUUUUCUUCACCCAGAAUCUCCCUCCUCCACACACCACAAACCCACCCCCCCUCCCGGCAUUUUCUAGAGGGUGAAAUUAGGUAGCACUGAGCUAGAUUUAGAUGACUAAAAUGCGAAGAUUUUGGAACGGGCUCAACAUCAUCUACUGAUUUAAGGAUGGCAGAGCAUGAUGUAAAAUUUGUAACUUGAUCUUCUCAGAUGCUUUGAGUUGGAACUAACAGCGGUGAAUAAUAGAUGCGUUUAUGGAAGUAUAAACAAAGGGUGGUUCAUAUUUGAUUGUUCGUUGAUUCUAGUGGAGAAGUCUUUUUUCUAUUCAAUAAAAAAAAGAAAAAAACUUACGAUUGUAUAAAAAAGAAAAAAAAAACCCUUCUUAAUAAGG
Molecule: unclassified non-coding RNA, 5111 nt
Filed under: Hevea brasiliensis (rubber tree)
Lineage: Eukaryota; Viridiplantae; Streptophyta; Magnoliopsida; Malpighiales; Euphorbiaceae
Source: RNAcentral